AAUUUGUCUUUGAGACUAAAGAGAUAACUGGAUUUGUAAUGAACAUUUUUAGAAAUUUUAUAUGUAGAGAACCAAAUGAAAUUAUAAAGCUGAUAUAAAUAUCAAUGUGCUAUAAAACCCCACAUUUUUCAUGUUCAUGUAUCAAAAUUGGAGCAUUUUAAGAAGCAAGAAGAGCUCUCUAAAUUAAUGCAUAUCUUGCUUUUCUACUUAUGUUCUGUAGAUUCUUUAAAAUAGUCCUCUGUAAAAGGAAUGAAAAGCAGGAAAGCAUGAAAACUGAAAAUUCAUUUUAUCCUUUAUAAAACUAUACCUUUUAUUUAGGUGGUAAACCCUUAUUGUUACACUAUGCACUCAGAAAAUGUACAGCAGUGACUAUUCUUAAAUGUAAAGAAUUUACCAGUGGUUUAAAUCUAAAAUGGUCAUCAAAGGAAGCUUUACAAAUUCUUUGCCUAAAACCUGUAAAGCAGGCAUUUUAAAACUGUGAUUCAUGGAUUAUCAGUGGAAUGGACUUAAGGAGUUCCAUAAAUGUACCGAAAUUAUCUUUUUUAAAAUGUGUGCAUUUUUCCCUUGAGGAUACAUAACCUUUUGUCAUAGUUCCAGAAGAAUCUAAAACUCAAAAAAUGGUUAAGAACCAGUGUUACAAAGUGCUGAUAAAGGCCCUGGUGGAUCCCAGUACAUGUACAGUUGAUCCUUGUUAUUUGUAGGGUUUGUGUUUGUGAGUUUACCUACUCACUAAAUUUUUGUUGUAAAUUCAAAACCAACACUCACAGCGCAGUCAUUCACAGACACAUGCGGGAUGACAGAAAGUUUGGUUCGCCUUGUAUGCACCUUCCUAGCUGAGGUUAAGGAAGGCCACUCUCUGCCUUCUUAUUUUAGCUGAAACAGUGUCUUUUACGAUGUGUGUUUAGUGCUGUGUUCUUCACAUGUUUGUUCUCUUUUUGGGUGAUUUUUCUGUUUAAAAUGACCCUCAAACAAAGUGCUGAUAUAUAGUCUCGUUUUUCUGAGCGCAAAAAGACUGUGAUAUGACCUGCAGAGUAAAUACCCAUGAUAGGCAAACUUUACUCAGGCAUGAGUCAAACAGUGCUGUCGAAGGUGAGUUCAAUGUUGAAGAAUAAAAUAUGAAGUUAUCAGUACUUGUGUAAAAGGUUAAAUAUAGGUAAAUAUAGAUGUAAAUAAAUAAAACAAGGUGUCUAUAAAGAGAAGCAUACAUUUUUAAAAGUUACAUAUUGGUGUCGAUUGGUUGACGAAAAUGUGGCAGAGGAUUACAGGAACCUAACCCUACAAUUUCUCCAGCAGCAAUGAUUCUGUAUUCACUAAUUCACUGUUUGUGUCAACUUCUUAAAACAUUAGAACUGCAGACCAGAGUCUUCUAUAGUUUGAUAAAGCCCUAGCCUAGCGGGGUUUUUGAAUUUUUAUUUAACUUAACGUUUCUGAAUUUCUUUUCGUAUGAACAUUUAGUAUAUAGAGGGUAUGUGGCAUUAUCUCUUAAUAAUGUCAUACAUCAGUUCUCUCCUGCCCCGGCUUAUGGAGUGUAUCUGGUAACGUGGUCUCUGGCUCGGAACAUCUCUUGCCAUCCUGGCCGGUCAAGGCCGUUGUAGGUUUUGGAAGAUGGCAAAGUUCAUGACACCUGUGAUCCAGGACAAUCCCUCAGGCUGGGGUCUCUGUGCCGUUCCCGAGCAGUUUCGGGAUAUGCCCUACCAGCCGUUCAGCAAAGGUGAUCGGCUAGGAAAGGUUGCAGACUGGACAGGAGCCACAUACCAAGAUAAGAGGUACACAAAUAGGUACUCCUCUCAAUUUGGUGGUGGAAGUCAAUAUGCUUGUUUCCAUAAGGAGAAUGAAACUAGCUUUCAACUGGUGGAUACUACAUGAACACAGAAGACUGCCUACCAGCGGAAUCGGAUGAGAUUUGCACAGCGGACCCAUCGCAGAGACAAAGAUUGGCAGAACAUGUUGCAGUUCAACCUCCAAGCCCUGCCUAAGAGUGCUAAGCAGAAGGAGAGAGAACACAUACGACUACAGAAAAAAUUCCAGAGCAAUUUGGGGUUAGACAAAAACGGGAUCAAAAAUCACAGAAACUUCAAGACUCUUCAGUUGAAGUUCAUAGUAACUGGGAAGUGAAAGAAGAAAUGGAUUCUCCUCAGUUGAUGAAGAUGCAUUAUCUGGAAGUGUCAGAGCCGCAGGACAUGGAGUGUUGUGGGGCCCUAGAAUACUAUGAUAAAGCGAUAAAGCCUUUGACCACAUGACCACGAGGAGCGAGAAGCCGCUGUGGAGCAUCAAGCGCAUCUUCCACACUGUCACCACCACAGAUAACCCUGUCAUCCUGAAGCUGGCAAAAACUCAGGGGAAUGUGUUUGCCACCGAUGCCAUCCUGGCCACACUAUGAGCUGUACCCGCUCAGUGUAUUCCUAGGAUAUUGUUGUCCAGAGAGUUGGGUCCAGGCUCUUCUUUGAUAAGAGGGACAACUCAGACUUUGACCUCCUGACAGUGAGUGAGACAGCCAGUGAGCCCCCUCAAGAUGAAGGUAAUUCCUUCAAUUCACCCCGCAGUCUGGCCAUGGAAGCAACCUACAUCAACCACAAUUUCUCCCAGCACAGUGCCUGAGAAUGGGGAAGGAAAGAUACAAUUUCCCCAACCCAAACCCAUUUGUGGAAGACGACAUGGAUAAGAAUGAGAUUGCAUCUGUUGCAUACCGGUAUUGCAGGUGGAAGCUGGGGGAUGAUAUUGACCUUAUUGUUCACUGUGAGCAUGAUGGUGUCAUGACUGGAGCCAAUGGGGAAGGGUCCUUCAUCAACAUGAAGACACUCAAUGAGUGGGAUUCCAGGCACUGUAACGGUGUUGACUGGCAUCAGAAGCUAGACUCUAAGCGAGGAGCCGUCAUUGCCACUGAGCUAAAGAACGACAGCUACAAGCUGGCCCGAUGGACCUGCUGUGCUUUGCUGGCUGGAUCUGAGUACCUCAAGCUCGGUUAUGUGUCUUGAUACCAUGUGAAAGACUCUUCAUGCCACGUCAUCCUGGGCACCUAGCAGUUCAAGCCCCAUGAGUUUGCCAGCCAGAUCAACCUACGUGUGGAGAAUGCCUGGGGCAUUCUGCGCUGUGUCAUCAACAUCUGCAUGAAGCUGGAGGAAGGCAAAUACCUCAUCCUCAAGGACCCCAACAAGCAGGUCAUCCGUAUCUACAGCCUGCCUGAUGGUACCUUUAGCUCUGAUGAAGAUGAGGAGGAGGAGGAGGAUGAAGAAGAGGAGGAAGAAGAGGAAGGAACUUAAACAGUGAUGUGGCACCCAGAAGGGCUUUUGGAGUGUUUUGACUAUUCUCCAACGUUUGACAGAUAAAACAAAGUAUAAAUCCAUUUAAAAAAAUAAUAAUAAUGUCACAUAUCAACUACUUCCAAUAUAACCAUGCUAAAUGUUAUUAUUUUAGUGGGCUUCAUAUUUAUUCUUUCUAGCUCUGUCAGAAUUCAC
Otolemur garnettii (small-eared galago) is the source of this 3455-nucleotide RNA transcript. It is a transcript of the gene named eukaryotic translation initiation factor 3 subunit D pseudogene, with no coding region annotated. The transcript has a single exon. NCBI's taxonomy places the organism in Eukaryota, Metazoa, Chordata, Mammalia, Primates, Galagidae. The record is from RefSeq and is a predicted model, not a curated record.